CCACCUUCAACCUUUUCAUCUCCAUCUUCAUUAUCCACCAUCAAAUAAAGAAAGCUUUAUCCUAACAUAUGAAGCAGCAUCCUUUUGAUGAAUUAAAAAUGAUUUUUAAAAAACCCCCCAACACUUAAUUAACCCCAAAAGUAACACAAAACUAAAUUAAACCCCAAAAUUACCCAACCCACAAUCUGAAACCCAGUAACAAGCUGGAGAUCCAGAUUGGUGAAGGGGUUCUUGUUGGAGACUCGAAUUAGAGAAGGAUUGUGGAGGAGGAAGUUAGGGAUUUAAUUGUUCCAUCCGCGCGCAGCCCUUCUCAUCUCUCUGGUGAUGAAUUUGGGUUUCAAGACAGAGACAAAGAAAUGGUCAAGGAGAAGAAUAGCAGAACAUAGAUUAUAAAUACCAUCUGAUCAGAUUCCGUGGAGCGAGGAUUUAUCUUCCAUGGGGCUAACAAUUAUUUCUCAGCCUUUAUUUCGCUCAGUAGUUGUAGUUUCUCCCUUUUGGGGGAUUUUGUUCCUCAACUGUUUGUGUUUGUUUCGUAAUGAAGGAAGUAAAUUUUUUGGCUACUAUCGUG
Molecule: long non-coding RNA, 568 nt
Filed under: Lotus japonicus
Lineage: Eukaryota; Viridiplantae; Streptophyta; Magnoliopsida; Fabales; Fabaceae
Description: long non-coding RNA (LJAP_LNC000206)
Source: RNAcentral